GGGGGUGAAUAGGUUCGACGGCAACUUAUCGUGCCAAAGUUGCAGGCCAUGGUUGACCAGGCCAUGUAAAACAGGGUCAAAACAAAAAAAGCCAACUCAAACGAGCUGGCCUGGGCCCACGCCUAAGUGAGCCUCGCUGCCGGACGUCUCUCUGCAACGUCCGGUGAGCGUCAAAACGCAGGGUGCUGUCCGCGUGUCGCGCUUCGUAUUCGCGGGCAAAAGACAACACGGAGCUUUGGACCGGCUUUGUCGUCCUGAACUUGGCCGAUCCGAGACAAACUCAGGGCUAAGCCUGUAGUGGCUCUGGCAUGUAAUUGUCGGACGCGAGUGCGAAUCUCGCCACCUCCAUAA
This 351-nucleotide transfer-messenger RNA is filed under the name Elusimicrobiales. RNAcentral describes it as "YA12-FULL-51-18 sp001800245 Standard tmRNA". It matches the Rfam family "transfer-messenger RNA". From Rfam's summary of the family: Bacterial tmRNA, also known as 10Sa RNA or SsrA, is named for its dual tRNA and mRNA-like properties. Its role is to liberate the mRNA from a stalled ribosome. Lineage: Bacteria; Pseudomonadati; Elusimicrobiota; Elusimicrobia. The record is from RNAcentral. RNAcentral also lists the same sequence under 2 other names.